GCAAGUCGAGCGGAAACGAUCCUAGCUUGCUAGGAGGCGUCGAGCGGCGGACGGGUGAGUAACGCGUGGGAAUCUACCGAGUAGUGGGGGACAACUUAGGGAAACUUAAGCUAAUACCGCAUACGCCCUACGGGGGAAAGAGGGGGAUCUUCGGACCUCUUGCUAUUCGAUGAGCCCGCGUCAGAUUAGCUAGUUGGUGGGGUAAAGGCCUACCAAGGCUACGAUCUAUAGCUGGUUUGAGAGGAUGAUC
Molecule: ribosomal RNA, 250 nt
Filed under: uncultured bacterium
Lineage: Bacteria
Description: partial 16S ribosomal RNA
Rfam family: Bacterial small subunit ribosomal RNA
Source: RNAcentral